Long non-coding RNA from Folsomia candida, 1187 nucleotides. RefSeq lists it as uncharacterized. The record is from RefSeq and is a predicted model, not a curated record. The transcript has 2 exons. NCBI's taxonomy places the organism in Eukaryota, Metazoa, Arthropoda, Collembola, Entomobryomorpha, Isotomidae.
GCGAUGGUUGGCAAAUUAUAAGAGAAAUAGCUUCUGUAUAAAGGGUGUACUGUAAAAUAAGGUGCAUGGCAAGUUUACAAAAUGUGGUUAAAGAACUUGUAAAAAAUCAUAUUUUACUGAAAAAUAUGGACGAAAGUCUUCAAUUUGCGGAAAGUUGUAAAUUUAAGCACAUACGUACGUAGUGAAAUUAUAUUGCCAAAUGUCAACCUGGGUGGACUGGUUUUCUAAUGGAUUUAAAUGAAAACAAUUUGUCUCAUCCUGAAAACGUUGGAUAAAAGUGAUAAUAUCACUGUGAUAUAGAAACAGGACCACAAAUUUGGCCAUGUUUUUCAAUAACAGACUCUUCUUCUUGAAUGUCAAGUAUAUUUUUGUCGAGAUAUUGACCUUGCCUCAUGUCCUAAAUGUGGGUCGCAUACUUCAACAACCAGCUUAGAACUACUUAUAAACAGUUCGAUUCCUUUGCCUCGCAGGUGUUCAAUUAAUCAAUGGCCCAUAAAUACACAUGGACAUCAAUCAAUGGACACCAAACGAGGCUUAUUACAUGUGUAUAUGAUUCGCCAUGUCGUGUACAUAAUCCUCGAUUACACUAAACACCGACAAAUACAUAUACAUAAGUUGGUAUAAAUUCACCAAUUGUUUACUCUUGAACAACAACAACAUUAUUAAUUAUGUGUUAGUUUACCUGAAAAUGGAGGUAUCCCAGAGUGUGCUUUUGGAUUUUGACGAAGCUAGUGUCAAUCGAUCCGAAUUCCGAAAUUUAUUUUAUAUAGCGAACGACACUAUUUCUCAAUGGGCAGGUUUGGCAGAGAUAAAUGUUUGCAUCUGAAGAGGAGAAAACGCACAGUACAUUUUUGGCCGUCUUUUCUCCUUUUCGGAUACAAGUAUUUCUGCCAACCCUGCGCAUUGGCUGAUAAUGCCAUUUGAAAUUUCAUCCUAACUAAAUUUGUGAUCGAUUGACACUAGCUUAAUAAAAAUCGAGUGACGCUGGAGACUUUCAUUGUGUGAGGUGAGGAAUUAUAGAAUAAGAUCGCCUUGCCCUUGUACGUAUUAUUAGCAACACUUUCUCCAUCCAUAAUUCCGUUCUUUUGAUUAUAUCAUUUUCUACUCCUUAACGAGAAGACGCUACGUAUAAAAUUAACCAUAUAUGUAUUUAAUUGGAAAUAAAUACGUAUUUAUUUGGUUCCUUA